UACAGAGGGUGCAAGCGUUGUUCGGAAUUAUUGGGCGUAAAGCGCGUGUAGGCGGUUGCCUAAGUCUGGUGUGAAAUCCCGGGGCUUAACUCCGGAAGUGCACUGGAUACUGGGUGACUAGAGGACGAGAGAGGACAGUGGAAUUCCUGGUGUAGGGGUGAAAUCCGUAGAUAUCAGGAGGAACAUCGGUGGCGAAGGCGGCUGUCUGGCUCGUAUCUGACGCUGAGACGCGAAAGCGUGGGGAGCAAACAGGAUUAGAUACCCUGGUAGUCCACGCCCUAAACGAUGGACACUAGUUGUCGGCAUACCUAAUUGUGUCGGUAACGUAGCUAACGCAUUAAGUGUCCCGCCUGGGAAGUACGGUCGCAAGAUUAAA
Molecule: ribosomal RNA, 376 nt
Filed under: uncultured bacterium
Lineage: Bacteria
Description: bacterial SSU rRNA
Rfam family: Bacterial small subunit ribosomal RNA
Source: RNAcentral